RNAcentral lists this ribosomal RNA (915 nucleotides) under uncultured bacterium. RNAcentral's name for it is "bacterial SSU rRNA". It matches the Rfam family "Bacterial small subunit ribosomal RNA", at positions 8 to 916 of the family's 1533-position model. The record is from RNAcentral.
AGAGUUUGAUCCUGGCUCAGGAUGAACGCUAGCGGCAGGCUUAAUACAUGCAAGUCGAGGGGCAGCAGGACUGUAGCAAUACAGUUGCUGGCGACCGGCAAACGGGUGCGGAACACGUACGCAACUUACCCUUUAACUGGGGGAUAGCCCGGGGAAACCCGGAUUAAUACCCCGUAACAUAUUGAAGUGGCAUCACUUUAUUAUUAUAGCUCCGGCGGUUAAGGAUGGGCGUGCGGCUGAUUAGGUAGUUGGCGGGGUAACGGCCCACCAAGCCUGCGAUCAGUAACUGGUGUGAGAGCACGACCAGUCACACGGGCACUGAGACACGGGCCCGACUCCUACGGGAGGCAGCAGUAAGGAAUAUUGGUCAAUGGACGCAAGUCUGAACCAGCCAUGCCGCGUGAAGGAUGAAGGUCCUCUGGAUUGUAAACUUCUUUUAUAUGGGAAGAAAUUAUCGGAUUCCUCCGAUAUUGACGGUACCAUAGGAAUAAGCACCGGCUAACUCCGUGCCAGCAGCCGCGGUAAUACGGAGGGUGCAAGCGUUAUCCGGAUUCACUGGGUUUAAAGGGUGCGUAGGAGGGCAGGUAAGUCAGUGGUGAAAUCCUCAAGCUUAACUUGAGAACUGCCGUUGAUACUAUCUGUCUUGAAUAUCGUGGAGAUGAGCGGAAUAUGUCAUGUAGCGGUGAAAUGCUUAGAUAUGACAUAGAACACCAAUUGCGAAGGCAGCUCGUUACGCGAAUAUUGACUCUGAGGCACGAAAGCGUGGGGAUCAAACAGGAUUAGAUACCCUGGUAGUCCACGCCCUAAACGAUGGAUACUCGACAUACGCGAUACACAGUGUGUGUCUGAGCGAAAGCAUUAAGUAUCCCACCUGGGAAGUACGACCGCAAGGUUGAAACUCAAAGGAAUUGACGG